GAGCUUCAGAUUUGUUGGCAAAGAUGUUUUUUAAAGAUAAGAUGAGGAAAUUAGAGGGGGAAAAAGCUUUCUUACAGCUUUUUAAAGGCAGCUCCUUUUGUGAGAGCGCCACUUAAGGGACUGUAAUUAGAACUGCAUGUUUUUUGGGGGGGGGGAACCGAGAAUUUGAGAGCCUCCCUCCUCCCCCCAAAUUUCACUUUCUCUAGGGAGGUUCAGGUAUAUCUAUAUGACAUUUUUGUUCUUUCUUGCAGGACGACACGGUUCCCUCAGCACUCCUCCAUAUCUGACUUUUCAGUUAGAAUUUUCCUCAGUUCCCGCUCAAGAUAGAAUCCAGGCUGCUGCUUAUCUUACAGUGGAAGCUGGACCAUUUCGAUUCCAUACUGCUCUGCACUGGUGUUUUCAUGCUUCUUGGCUGAGAGGGAUCCUCGGAGGUUUAUUGUACCAGGCUGUCAGGAUAUUCUACAAUUUGUGACUAAGGAAUAUUGCAGGCUUCAUUAAAACAUCUUAUUUGUACAGAGCAAACUUCAGAUUUUUAGGUAAGUCCCCAAUAUUGGCUGAAAUCCAGUAGUAAAUCAAGACUCAAUUAACCCCACUAGGGAUUUGGUGAGUCGAUACCCGUGUAAGUCCCAUUGAUUCAAUGGGCCUACUCUAGUUGUGAGUUAAGCCAAUACGCUUUUGGCACCUUGGUCCUGGGGACGAUUUGAGCUCUGGGACCAAAAAGGGGCCUGAAUAUUAUUGAAUUAUAAUAAUAAUUUUCUCUGUCUUCCUGGAUAAGCUUUCUCACUCCUCACCAUGUUUCUUCUCAACUGGACUUUUUAAAGGCAGUGUCACCUCACUCCAUGCCAGGAUCAAUAUGGAGGCAAGGUUUCUUCUCAACUGGACUUUUUAAAGGCAAUGUCACCUCACUCCAUGCCAGGAGGCAAGUUGACACCCUCUGAAGAUGUCAGUGUGAAGCAAUGCCAAAGGGGAAACAACUCUGCAUUUCUUAAAUCAGCCUCUGGCUUCUUUUUCCUUGUUCUGCAGCUAGAAACCUACGGCUGUAGGCCAAAACAGAUGAUAAAGACUAUAUCAUCCUUAGAAGUGUGUAGCACAUGACCGUUUUGGGGAUGCAGUUCUCUCAUAGGACCUCCUGCCUGUACCAUCAGACCAGCGAGUGAAGACACAGUGGGGGAAAUGUGGUUUGAUUUGACCCAGUGCUCUUUGAGGCAGAGAUCUCCAUUUGCAAAGAAACAUAACAUCAGAAGUUGCCUUAAGGGGCUAACUAGCAAUCUUUUAUGCCUCGUUUUAUCUUAGAUACCCUAAGUGCCCUUAAAAAGCUCUGCUCCAUCUUUGGGUGGAAACCUAAAAAAAAAAAAAACAACAACCACUAUGUGCAGAGUGGGAGUGCUUGUUUGACAGGAGGUGAAAUCCUUUGAGAGCCCUAUCGCCUUCAGUGACGCUGGCAAAAAGCAGACAAAAGUGAUGUCCUGACUGGAACAAAUCUAAACCCCUGAAACAAAAAUGAAUAUUCCCCACUCGAAAAAAAAAAGAUUUUCACAAUGGGCUUCCUUGCACAUCAGGGGGUCUCUCGGUGUUAAUUCCAAUUCAUCUGCAGCCAAUCCCCUAUAAACUGUGAAGUAAGUAGCUAGUGUAGUUGUCUCUCUGUUUACACUUUCAGCCAUCUAAAGCUUAUAUUUCUUCUUCUGGGACUGAGAAAAUUUUGGUGUCCUUAAACCUUUUGAUGAUGUACUCUGUGUCGCCUUAGAAGCCCAUAUGAGGAAGAUGAAAGGGCCUCAUUAGGAUUUCAUUCUUGCUGGAAACUCUCAGGAAUGGUUUGGUUAGGAUGUCCCUUUUAAAAAGCACAAAUCUGAUUCAGGGUUGGAUUUUGAAGCAUGUUGGUCAUCUGGGUAAAUGUGAAUGAUUUACGUAUUCCAGGCACUAGGCAAGUGUACUGCAUCCCAGUCUGUACAUCUGGGGUGGGCCUUGAGAUCAAGUGAACUAUCACGCUCCAGCAUCAUCAACUACCUACGACCCUCAUAGAACUACUCAGGGAUUUGAUUCACGCCAUUGACCGCCAGCUCCACCUCUGUUUUCGAUCAAGGAAGCUCUGAAGCUUCUGAAUCAACAGUGACCCAUAGUUAUAACUUGAACCUUCAUGCCAUCACAAAGGUGGGGCUCCCUCUGAGGCCUACUAGGGCCACAUCUGCUUUCUCUCCACCACCAGCGCUGGGCAUCUCGACCUGAGCUUAUUCAUCCGGUUUCACCAGAGUAUUUCUUGUUACAGAAUAUGAAGUUCUUUUGGCAAAUGUUUACGAAAAGAAGAGAACCAUUUUUAUUAUCUAUCCCUGGUGUGACAAUCUCAGAAGUUUGUAGCAAACCUCCAUCACGAAUAUAUACACCAAAAAUACUUUAUGCGAAUAACUUGAAUUUGCACCAUUGAAUGUUCUGGGUGCUUCUCUUUGUGAAUGUACGAUAGAUGUAUGAUAGGUGUUAUUGCACUACCAAAGGGAGAGUGGUUGACUGACCAAAUGGGUGUGAUAUAAAUACAAUAAAUAAAUAAAUGUAAAUAAAUAAAUAAGAUAA
This is a long non-coding RNA of Pogona vitticeps (central bearded dragon), 2562 nucleotides long. The record is from Ensembl. Lineage: Eukaryota; Metazoa; Chordata; Lepidosauria; Squamata; Agamidae.